Delphinapterus leucas (beluga whale) is the source of this 509-nucleotide non-coding RNA. NCBI's taxonomy places the organism in Eukaryota, Metazoa, Chordata, Mammalia, Artiodactyla, Monodontidae. The record is from RefSeq and is a predicted model, not a curated record.
UGGAACCACGACUAAGAAAUGAAGUUUUCCCAAGGAUCGUGGAAACAGAGCAGCACAUUAGCCUGGGGACCAUUUUAUUUACGCUUGGAUCCAACAGCUUCUCCUACCCUCCUCCUCUCCCCUUGCCCUGGCAGUGGAAAUCAAACACGCCUCCUCUCCCUCCGCCCUGAGUUUUAUUUAGUGAUUUAAUUUCACUUUAGUUUUAAGGUUUGACCUGAGAAGUCUAGGCCUCAGAUUUUUUUUUAGAUUAAUCAUUUUCCUUUGUUUUCAUUUUAGACCCAAUGGUGGUUGGGCUUCAGGUCACGUGACGACUUCUUUGUCGCUCCGGAAGAGAACUGUGAAGUUUAGGUUGCGUGAGAAUUGCCAGGAAAAAAAAAAAUCAAGAUUUGGGGGAAUUAGCCACAUAGAUGUAAGGUGUGUUAACUUGGGCGCUUCUUGGAUUCUACCCUGAGGAGGAGGCGCAUGAUCUUGAUUUGCCGCUCGCUGAGGUUCAGCAGGUUGGCCAUCUC